AGCAUCUGGGGNAUUAANGCCAUGGCNNGAGUCGACACNAGCAAUGGUGUGGCAUANCGGCUCAGUAACACGUAGUCAACAUGCCCAGGGGACGUGGAUAACCUCGGGAAACUGAGGAUAAACCGCGAUAGGUCACUACUUCUGGAAUGGGUAAUGACCCAAACCUAUAUGGCCCCUGGAUUGGACUGCGGCCGAUCAGGCUGUUGGUGAGGUAAUGGCCCACCAAACCUGUAACCGGUACGGGCUCUGAGAGGAGGAGCCCGGAGAUGGGCACUGAGACAAGGGCCCAGGCCCUAUGGGGCGCAGCAGGCGCGAAACCUCUGCAAUAGGCGAAAGCUUGACAGGGUUACUCUGAGUGAUUUCCGUUAAGGAGAUCUUUUGGCACCUCUAAAAAUGGUGCAGAAUAAGGGGUGGGCAAGUCUGGUGUCAGCCGCCGCGGUAAUACCAGCACCCCGAGUGGUCGGGACGUUUAUUGGGCCUAAAGCAUCCGUAGCCGGUUCUACAAGUCUUCCGUUAAAUCCACCAGCUCAACAGAUGGGCUGCGGAAGAUACUAUGGAGCUAGGAGGCGGGAGAGGCAAGCGGUACUCGAUGGGUAGGGGUAAAAUCCGUUGAUCCAUUGAAGACCACCAGUGGCGAAGGCGGCUUGCCAGAACGCGCUCGACGGUGAGGGAUGAAAGCUGGGGGAGCAACCCGGAUAAAUACCCGGGUAGUCCCAGCUGUAAACGAUGCAGACUCGGUGAUGAAUUGGCUUUAUUCCAACUCACUGCCCCAAGGAAGCCCGUUAGUUUUCCGCCCUGGGGAAAACGGUCCCAAAACUUGAAUUUAAGAAAUUUGCGGGGGAAGCACCAACAGNGGUGAGCCUUGCCGGUUCAUUUGAAAUCCACCGCCGAAAUUCCUUA
Molecule: ribosomal RNA, 900 nt
Filed under: uncultured archaeon
Lineage: Archaea
Description: bacterial SSU rRNA
Rfam family: Archaeal small subunit ribosomal RNA
Source: RNAcentral